GGUAAUUAAAUUUUCCUCUACAACUUUCUUGCAACCAAACACAUAAUGAUUGUCUUUUCUUCCCUCUUUCCCUUCUUCACAUUUCUUUCCUCCAUCAUUCCCCUAUUCAAAACAAAGCUUAAGUAUUUAAAUCUUAAACAACUAUGCCUUCACGGGAUUACUUUGACAAUUGAAACCUGUUCAGCUUAGCAUAAUAUUAAUUCUUCCUCAUUUUAUUGGCAAAAAAAAAAACAACAACACUAAGGUGAAACAAUGAUAACCUCUAGAUUCAGUUUCAUUUUUUUAUUAUUCAUAUUUUGGCAUUACUAUAAUAAAAACAACAAGCAAGAAACAUGUGAUAACAUUUUUGUCACCUUAACAGCCAUGAGCAAGGGAUCAUUCUGUCCUCAUGAACCACUUUUUGUUCAUUCACCGAAUAAUAAGCCACUUUUAAGAUUGUUUUGUUGUGAUUACUAUCACAAUUAUAAUGUUAAUCUAUCUCGUGAACACACACAGACUGUACUCACAUGACAUAACUGUUACCAAAUGACACUAUUAAGACUAAAAUAAUGUAAAUAAUUGUUCAACUAACAUUCUAAACACCGUUAUAAAUAAACUCUUAGAGAGGUAAUAGGUAACACAACAUAACAUAUUAAGUAAGCACCUGGUUAAUCAAUUAGGAGAGUAUGGCACAUUCCAGUGGAAAGACUUUGGUGCAGUGGAUGGUAGCAGCAUUGAUCUUUGCCAUGUUGGGUGGAAGUCUAGCU
Molecule: long non-coding RNA, 746 nt
Filed under: Lathyrus oleraceus (garden pea)
Lineage: Eukaryota; Viridiplantae; Streptophyta; Magnoliopsida; Fabales; Fabaceae
Description: Pisum sativum (pea) long non-coding RNA (PSAT_LNC004259)
Source: RNAcentral